This 243-nucleotide ribosomal RNA is filed under the name uncultured bacterium. Its description in RNAcentral is "partial 16S ribosomal RNA". It matches the Rfam family "Bacterial small subunit ribosomal RNA", at positions 111 to 354 of the family's 1533-position model. The record is from RNAcentral.
UAACGCGUGAGGAACCUGCCUUCCAGAGGGGGACAACAGUUGGAAACGACUGCUAAUACCGCAUGAUGCGUUGGAGCCGCAUGACUCCGACGUCAAAGAUUUAUCGCUGGAAGAUGGCCUCGCGUCUGAUUAGCUGGUUGGUGAGGUAACGGCCCACCAAGGCGACGAUCAGUAGCCGGACUGAGAGGUUGGCCGGCCACAUUGGGACUGAGAUACGGCCCAGACUCCUACGGGAGGCAGCAG